AGGAUAUUCUUCUGGAAGGAGAGAUGUAUAUCCUGUGAAGUGCACGCUUCCGUUUUUCCAAUUAUGAGAUAGCUCAAAUUCUUUGUCAAACAGCAGAUCAAAAGACACUUGUGGGAACUUCUCUGAGGAUAGUGUCCCCAGAACAAGCUUUUGAUUGCCGACCUUGACAUAUAGGAAAACCUGUUCACUUCCUUUGCUCUUGGACUCUCCAAGACACGCCUGUGACAGAUGCAGUAUCUUCUCCUCUCCAGGCCUCACCAAGAGAGGUUCUCCAACUUUAACCUCA
This 286-nucleotide unclassified non-coding RNA is filed under the name Hevea brasiliensis (rubber tree). The record is from RNAcentral. Lineage: Eukaryota; Viridiplantae; Streptophyta; Magnoliopsida; Malpighiales; Euphorbiaceae.